UCCUGGCACAGGAACGACCAUAAAGAAGCCGUCGAGAGGUAUCGGAAGAGUUUUCUUUUCUGUUUUAUAGCCGUACUACCAUGGAAGUCUUUCGCAGAGAGAUAUGGUAGAUGGGCUAGAAGAGCAUGACAUAUACUGUUGUGUCGAUAUUUUCUCCUCGGACCUUGAAAAUUUAUGGUGGGGAUACGCAAACUUCUCAACAGGCCGUACCAAUAUCCGCAGCUGGUCUCCAAGGUGAAGAGUCUCUAGUCGAUAGAAUAAUGUAGGUAAGGGAAGUCGGCAAAUUAGAUCCGUAACUUCGGGAUAAGGAUUGGCUCUGAAGAUUGAGAUAGUCGGGCUUGAUUGGGAAACAAUAACAUGGUUUAUGUGCUCGUUCUGGGUAAAUAGAGUUUCUAUCAUUUAUGAUAGUUAUUUGUUCCCCGGAUAGUUAGUUACGUAGCCAAUUGUGGAACUUUCUUGCUAAAAUUUUUAAGAAUACUAAUUUUUAAUUAGUUCUUUUAAAUUAUAACGAUUAUCAAUUAACAAUCAAUUCAGAACUGGCACGGACUUGGGGAAUCCGACUGUCUAAUUAAAACAAAGCAUUGUGAUGGCCCUAGCGGGUGUUGACACAAUGUGAUUUCUGCCCAGUGCUCUGAAUGUCAAAGUGAAGAAAUUCAAGUAAGCGCGGGUCAACGGCGGGAGUAACUAUGAUCUCUCUCGCGGGAGAGAUUCCCUGUGCAGUAUGCGGGCGCCUCUUCAAUACUAGAAGGGGGCUCGGUGUACACAUGUCACAUCAACACAAAGACGAACUAGAUACGCAACGUCAGCGUGAAGAUGUAAAACUCCGAUGGAGCGAGGAAGAAGCGU
RNAcentral lists this non-coding RNA (846 nucleotides) under Drosophila willistoni. RNAcentral's name for it is "Eukaryotic large subunit ribosomal RNA". It matches the Rfam family "Eukaryotic large subunit ribosomal RNA", at positions 1639 to 2314 of the family's 3401-position model. The record is from Rfam by way of RNAcentral. Lineage: Eukaryota; Metazoa; Arthropoda; Insecta; Diptera; Drosophilidae.